Molecule: ribosomal RNA, 307 nt
Filed under: uncultured eukaryote
Lineage: Eukaryota
Description: partial 18S ribosomal RNA
Rfam family: Eukaryotic small subunit ribosomal RNA
Source: RNAcentral
CCCUUACACGUUCUGGGCCGCACGCGCGCUACACUGACGAAGGCAACGAGCUUUCCUUUACCGAAAGGUACGGGUAAUCUUUUGAAACUUCGUCGUGCUGGGGAUAGAUCCUUGCAAUUUUUGAUCUUAAACGAGGAAUGCCUAGUAAGCGCAAGUCAUCAACUUGCGUUGAUUACGUCCCUGCCCUUUGUACACACCGCCCGUCGCUACUACCGAUUGAAUGGUUUAGUGAGGCCUUCGGAUCCGCGACUCGUUUGUGGAGAAGUUGGACAAACUCAGUCAUUUAGAGGAAGUAAAAGUCGUAACA